Molecule: transfer RNA, 62 nt
Filed under: Branchinella kugenumaensis
Lineage: Eukaryota; Metazoa; Arthropoda; Branchiopoda; Anostraca; Thamnocephalidae
Description: tRNA-Asp
Source: RNAcentral
AGAGAUUUAGUUUAUUAAAAUAUAGGGUUGUCAUUCCUAAGAAGCCUUUAGGGCAUUCUCUU